GAUGAACGCUGGCGGCGUGCCUAAUACAUGCAAGUCGAGCGAACGGACGAGAAGCUUGCUUCUCUGAUGUUAGCGGCGGACGGGUGAGUAACACGUGGAUAACCUACCUAUAAGACUGGGAUAACUUCGGGAAACCGGAGCUAAUACCGGAUAAUAUUUUGAACCGCAUGGUUCAAAAGUGAAAGACGGUCUUGCUGUCACUUAUAGAUGGAUCCGCGCUGCAUUAGCUAGUUGGUAAGGUAACGGCUUACCAAGGCAACGAUGCAUAGCCGACCUGAGAGGGGGGGCGGGCAACCGGAGAAGUGAAACACGGCCCAGACUCCGGCGGGAGGCACAAGGAGGAAUUCUCCCGCAAGGGGGGAAAGCCUGAGGGAGCAACGCGGGGGGGGUGAUAAAGGUGUUGGGAUCUAAAAACUUUUUUAUGGGGAAAAAAAAUAUGUGAAAGAAAGGGGGCACCUUUGGACGGGCCAAAACAAAAAAGCCACGGAAAACUACGGC
This 498-nucleotide ribosomal RNA is filed under the name uncultured bacterium. RNAcentral describes it as "partial 16S ribosomal RNA". It matches the Rfam family "Bacterial small subunit ribosomal RNA", at positions 28 to 508 of the family's 1533-position model. The record is from RNAcentral.